GACACGAGCCAUGAACAAAGAUUUGAUCUGUCCCCAGUGAAUUCGAAAUGCAUACCAGCAAAUCAACAGGUUCUUCUGUUGAUAUCAGUGGUGGUGUUUCUUCCUUUUUAGGCUUUUCAGGUUUCUGCUUGGUUUCGCGAUACUCCUGCAGGUAACAAAGGCAAACACUAUAACCAAAUUGGUGAAGCUAAGUUCUCACCAGCCUGUUAUUUGGCAUUGAAUCUGUGUGAGGUGCUUCUCUAAUGUAUUCCUCCAUGGUUACCAGAAACGAUGCAGGAGGCUGCAAAUUAAAGAUCAAGAAUGAAGAGAGAUCA
Molecule: long non-coding RNA, 314 nt
Organism: Solanum verrucosum
Lineage: Eukaryota; Viridiplantae; Streptophyta; Magnoliopsida; Solanales; Solanaceae
Exons: 3
Source: RefSeq, a predicted model, not a curated record